Molecule: ribosomal RNA, 579 nt
Filed under: uncultured bacterium
Lineage: Bacteria
Description: bacterial SSU rRNA
Rfam family: Bacterial small subunit ribosomal RNA
Source: RNAcentral
CCUACGGGAGGCAGCAGUAGGGAAUAUUGGACAAUGGACGCAAGUCUGAUCCAGCCAUCCCGCGUGAAGGAUUAAGGCCCUAUGGGUUGUAAACUUCUUUUCUUUGGGAAUAAAAAGCGGUAUUCAUAUCGCCUUGAAGGUACCAGAGGAAUAAGCACCGGCUAACUCCGUGCCAGCAGCCGCGGUAAUACGGAGGGUGCAAGCGUUAUCCGGAUUCACUGGGUUUAAAGGGUGCGUAGGUGGCUUUGUAAGUCAGCGGUGAAAGCCUGGAGCUCAACUCCAGAAUUGCCAUUGAUACUGCAGAGCUUGAAUCAAGUUGAGGUGGAUGGAAUAUUACAUGUAGCGGUGAAAUGCUUAGAUAUGUAAUAGAACACCGAUUGCGAAGGCAGUUCACUAAGCUUGUAUUGACACUGAGGCACGAAAGCGUGGGGAUCAAACAGGAUUAGAUACCCUGGUAGUCCACGCCCUAAACGAUGCAAACUCGACAUUAGCGAUAUACAGUUAGUGUCCAAGCGAAAGCGUUAAGUUUGCCACCUGGGAAGUACGACCGCAAGGUUGAAACUUAAAUAGAAUUGACGG